Molecule: ribosomal RNA, 737 nt
Filed under: Bacillus sp. CUA-723
Lineage: Bacteria; Bacillati; Bacillota; Bacilli; Caryophanales; Bacillaceae
Description: bacterial SSU rRNA
Rfam family: Bacterial small subunit ribosomal RNA
Source: RNAcentral
UCGAGCGGAGAAAUGGGAGCUUGCUCCCAUUUCUCAGCGGCGGACGGGUGAGUAACACGUGGGCAACCUGCCCUACAGACUGGGAUAACUCCGGGAAACCGGAGCUAAUACCGGGUAAUACAUAGCAUCGCAUGAUGCAACGUUGAAAGUUGGCCUUUGGCUAACACUGUAGGAUGGGCCCGCGGCGCAUUAGCUAGUUGGUAAGGUAACGGCUUACCAAGGCCACGAUGCGUAGCCGACCUGAGAGGGUGAUCGGCCACACUGGGACUGAGACACGGCCCAGACUCCUACGGGAGGCAGCAGUAGGGAAUCUUCCGCAAUGGACGAAAGUCUGACGGAGCAACGCCGCGUGAGUGACGAAGGCCUUCGGGUCGUAAAGCUCUGUUGUUAGGGAAGAACAAGUACCGUUCGAAUAGGGCGGUACCUUGACGGUACCUAACCAGAAAGCCACGGCUAACUACGUGCCAGCAGCCGCGGUAAUACGUAGGUGGCAAGCGUUGUCCGGAAUUAUUGGGCGUAAAGCGCGCGCAGGCGGUCUCUUAAGUCUGAUGUGAAAGCCCACGGCUCAACCGUGGAGGGCCAUUGGAAACUGGGGGACUUGAGUGCAGAAGAGGAGAGUGGAAUUCCACGUGUAGCGGUGAAAUGCGUAGAUAUGUGGAGGAACACCAGUGGCGAAGGCGGCUCUCUGGUCUGUAACUGACGCUGAGGCGCGAAAGCGUGGGGAGCGAACAGGAUUA